GCAUGCCUAACACAUGCAAGUCGAACGAACCCUUCGGGGUUAGUGGCGCACGGGUGCGUAACGCGUGGGAACCUGCCUUUAGGUUCGGAAUAACUCAGAGAAAUUUGAGCUAAUACCGGAUAAUGUCUUCGGACCAAAGAUUUAUCGCCUUUAGAUGGGCCCGCGUUAGAUUAGAUAGUUGGUGGGGUAAUGGCCUACCAAGUCGACGAUCUAUAGCUGGUCUGAGAGGAUGAUCAGCCACACUGGGACUGAGACACGGCCCAGACUCCUACGGGAGGCAGCAGUGGGGAAUAUUGGACAAUGGGCGAAAGCCUGAUCCAGCAAUGCCGCGUGAGUGAUGAAGGCCUUAGGGUUGUAAAGCUCUUUUACCAGGGAUGAUA
This 380-nucleotide ribosomal RNA is filed under the name uncultured Alphaproteobacteria bacterium. RNAcentral's name for it is "bacterial SSU rRNA". It matches the Rfam family "Bacterial small subunit ribosomal RNA", at positions 42 to 450 of the family's 1533-position model. Lineage: Bacteria; Pseudomonadati; Pseudomonadota; Alphaproteobacteria. The record is from RNAcentral.